Molecule: ribosomal RNA, 253 nt
Filed under: uncultured bacterium
Lineage: Bacteria
Description: partial 16S ribosomal RNA
Rfam family: Bacterial small subunit ribosomal RNA
Source: RNAcentral
UACAGAGGGGGCAAGCGUUGUUCGGAAUUACUGGGCGUAAAGGGCGCGUAGGCGGCGUGUUAAGUCAGCUGUGAAAUCUCCAAGCUCAACUUGGAACGGCCAGCUGAUACUGAUGUGCUAGAGUGCAGAAGGGGCAAUCGGAAUUCUUGGUGUAGCGGUGAAAUGCGUAGAUAUCAAGAGGAACACCUGAGGUGAAGACGGGUUGCUGGGCUGACACUGACGCUGAGGCGCGAAAGCCAGGGGAGCAAACGGG